This 317-nucleotide unclassified non-coding RNA is filed under the name fungal sp. RNAcentral's name for it is "partial internal transcribed spacer region". The stretch from base 1 to 45 matches the Rfam family "Eukaryotic small subunit ribosomal RNA", at positions 1787 to 1831 of the family's 1831-position model. Lineage: Eukaryota; Fungi. The record is from RNAcentral.
AGUCGUAACAAGGUUUCCGUAGGUGAACCUGCGGAAGGAUCAUUAACACUGAUCACCUUUUCUUCUCAUCACACAACUAUGCGAACUUGUCUCAUUUUUUUUCUCUAAAAAAAUGAAUUAAAGAAAAUGGCUUGUUUAUGGGAUUUUUUUCACAUUAGUGAAAACUUUCUCGUAUUCAAUCUCUUUUUUUUACUCCUUUUUUUUUAAAUUCAAACCCCAUUAACCUUUUUUUAAUCAAUUAAACAAAAAAUAACUAAAUUAAACAAAUUUAAAUAAAUACAAAAACAAUUCUUAACAAUGGAUAUCUUGGUUCUCGC